CCGCCGCCGCUUUUCUUCAUUGCCUGUGUUUUUGAAUUGUCAGUGUUAAUAGGCUUCUCUAUCUGGUCAUUGUGGAUCGUUCAAUUCCCAAAUGACUCGUUCCCUUGAAGCAAAAUUGAUCGUGCUGCUCUGUGUCAUAUAUAUAUUUUCCCCCAAAUUGUUACUGUGGGAGAACAAGAAAGUGGGGCAGCUAAAUUUCAAAUCUUGUUUCUGUGAUUUCUGGGGGGUUUAGGGUUUAAGGGCUUCAAAUUCGUAUUCAACAUGCACUGAAGUCGGUUUUGUGUGUGUUUUUUCUCAAGUGAAGCCGAGAAUGAGGUUCUCCUCGCUAUCUAAUGCCAUAUAUAAGUGUGGUAUUUGGACGUCGGAGAACUAAAUUA
Molecule: long non-coding RNA, 377 nt
Filed under: Rosa chinensis
Lineage: Eukaryota; Viridiplantae; Streptophyta; Magnoliopsida; Rosales; Rosaceae
Description: sRNA RchiOBHm_Chr5g0070261
Rfam family: Small nucleolar RNA snoR136 (bases 239-377)
Source: RNAcentral